GGCAGGCAAGAACACAGAAAUACAGCUGAAGCUGCUGGGAGCUUGAAGCAUGGAAAUACUUGAAAUUCACCUCUGAUGUCAGAGUGAAGCCAUUUCACAGGAGUCACAUUGUGCACUGACAGAACACUCCCAGGCCUAUGAAAUUAAACAUUUACUGGCAAUUCUUUUACUGUGGUUUAAUUUUUCAAAUCUGACAUGCUGACAGCAUGUGGCAGAGUAACCAAUGGUAGCAGGAAAGCAUAUGGUUAUGUUUUUUAAGUUUGUGUUUUCCUGUGAGCAUGAGAUACACAAGAACACAAAUUUAAUUAAGAUUUCCCCGAGUUUUUUGACAAAUUCAGCUGAACUGCACCAACCACACCAAUGCAGCAUGGGCUGGCAAGAGGUGCUCUGCAGGCAGGACAUGCCCAAGGGGCAAAGCCAUAUCAAGAACACAAGAAAUAAACCCUUACAUUUCCUGGGUGACUUGCUAGGAAAAACUUGAUUUGUUCCAUUUUCAUGAAAAUAACCACUGAGGCAUGAAGUUGUCACAGUUUUUGUGAAACAGAAGGAAGGCUGACCCACCUGAGGAGCUCAGUUAGAGCUGCUGCUCACUCCCCCUGCCUGCAUGAGUGGUGUGCUGGCAUUGAUAAAAACUCAGUGCUCAGAGAACAGAGACAAUGAGCCCCACUACUGAGCCUGCAGACAGCAUUUCUGUCAGUGCUGCUCAAUGCUGAGCCUAUCUAGUUUUGAAGAAAGUCUCAUAUUUUUGGUAAGGUAAAAAAAAAAAAAGCCCAACGUCUGUCUGUGUUCUCACAGAUUUAGGAGAUUUAAAUUCAGGCUCUCUGUGAAAUCUCAUAGAAGAAAAACUUCCCACAGCUCAUCUAGAACUUAAAAGAGGUAUUUGCUCAUUCCAUUGAUGUUUUACACUCUCCAUGUGAGACAAUUCCCUCCACUGAUAUCCCCCAGCAGUGAAUUGUUGUAUCACAGAAGCCUGCGUGGGGAGAUGGAGAAUAACUGGGGAAAAUCUUACGUCCUAUGGAAAACCUUUGAAAGCAAGUGGCAGCAUUGCAGCUGCUGCAAGGGUUGUGUGGCAUAUCACAGCCACUUGCAGUCCGAAGGCAGCGCUGGCAUCUCCGUGCCCCAGCUGGACAGAGGCAAGGAGUUUAUGUCCCUCCUGAAGUAA
Molecule: long non-coding RNA, 1162 nt
Filed under: Cyanistes caeruleus (blue tit)
Lineage: Eukaryota; Metazoa; Chordata; Aves; Passeriformes; Paridae
Description: lncRNA (ENSCCEG00000019582.1)
Source: RNAcentral